RNAcentral lists this ribosomal RNA (250 nucleotides) under uncultured bacterium. RNAcentral describes it as "partial 16S ribosomal RNA". It matches the Rfam family "Bacterial small subunit ribosomal RNA", at positions 524 to 773 of the family's 1533-position model. The record is from RNAcentral.
UACGGAGGGUGCAAGCGUUGUCCGGAUUUAUUGGGUUUAAAGGGUUCGUAGGCGGUAUUGUAAGUCAGUGGUGAAAUCCUUCGGCUCAACCGAAGAACUGCCAUUGAUACUGCAGUACUAGAGUAUAAUUGAGGUAGUUGGAAUGCGUAGUGUAGCGGUGAAAUGCAUAGAGAUUACGCAGAACGCCAAUUGCGAAGGCAGAUUACUAAAUUAUUACUGACGCUGAUGAACGAAAGCGUGGGGAGCGAAC